AUUCACUAUUAAUUCAUAAAACACUCAAAUUGUUACAGGGUUUUUCAAUUAAAACUUUAUGUUACAAAAGCUUUUACAGUUAAAACUCUAUCUCCUACUGCAGGUACGCAUAAUAUCAAACAGAUACACGUAAUCUCUACUUCUUACAAUAAUGACAAUUAAGCCAAAUAUACAUAACCUCCAAUCUCUCGAGUUUCAUCCACCAGAUGAGAGAGGGUUGUUCCUCUAUAAGACGGUUUCAUGAGAUACUUACUCGAUAUCAAGAGUAAAAACCA
This is a long non-coding RNA of Quercus robur (English oak), 275 nucleotides long. RefSeq lists it as uncharacterized. The record is from RefSeq and is a predicted model, not a curated record. NCBI's taxonomy places the organism in Eukaryota, Viridiplantae, Streptophyta, Magnoliopsida, Fagales, Fagaceae. The transcript has 2 exons.